RNAcentral lists this ribosomal RNA (255 nucleotides) under uncultured bacterium. RNAcentral describes it as "partial small subunit ribosomal RNA". It matches the Rfam family "Bacterial small subunit ribosomal RNA", at positions 26 to 285 of the family's 1533-position model. The record is from RNAcentral.
AGGACGAACGCUGGCGGCGUGCUUAACACAUGCAAGUCGAGCGGAAAGGCCCUUCGGGGUACUCGAGCGGCGAACGGGUGAGUAACACGUGAGUAAUCUGCCCCUAGCUCUGGGAUAGCUCCGGGAAACCGGGAUUAAUACCAGAUACGACCACUUUAGACAUCUGCUGUGGUGGAAAGAAUUUCGGCUAGGGGAUGAGCUCGCGGCCUAUCAGCUUGUUGGUGAGGUAACGGCUCACCAAGGCGACGACGGGUA